CGGCGUGCCUAAUACAUGCAAGUCGAACGCACAGCGAAAGGUGCUUGCACCUUUCAAGUGAGUGGCGAACGGGUGAGUAACACGUGGACAACCUGCCUCAAGGCUGGGGAUAACAUUUGGAAACAGAUGCUAAUACCGAAUAAAACUUAGUGUCGCAUGACACAAAGUUAAAAGGCGCUUCGGCGUCACCUAGAGAUGGAUCCGCGGUGCAUUAGUUAGUUGGUGGGGUAAAGGCCUACCAAGACAAUGAUGCAUAGCCGAGUUGAGAGACUGAUCGGCCACAUUGGGACUGAGACACGGCCCAAACUCCUACGGGAGGCUGCAGUAGGGAAUCUUCCACAAUGGGCGAAAGCCUGAUGGAGCAACGCCGCGUGUGUGAUGAAGGCUUUCGGGUCGUAAAGCACUGUUGUAUGGGAAGAACAGCUAGAAUAGGAAAUGAUUUUAGUUUGACGGUACCAUACCAGAAAGGGACGGCUAAAUACGUGCCAGCAGCCGCGGUAAUACGUA
Molecule: ribosomal RNA, 507 nt
Filed under: Leuconostoc mesenteroides subsp. mesenteroides
Lineage: Bacteria; Bacillati; Bacillota; Bacilli; Lactobacillales; Lactobacillaceae
Description: bacterial SSU rRNA
Rfam family: Bacterial small subunit ribosomal RNA
Source: RNAcentral